This 514-nucleotide ribosomal RNA is filed under the name Planaeschna viridis. RNAcentral's name for it is "partial 16S rRNA". It matches the Rfam family "Bacterial large subunit ribosomal RNA", at positions 1830 to 2597 of the family's 2925-position model. Lineage: Eukaryota; Metazoa; Arthropoda; Insecta; Odonata; Aeshnidae. The record is from RNAcentral.
GUCUUCUUGUUAUAUUUAGGAAGUCUGGCCUGCCCAGUGAAAAUUAAUUUAACGGCCGCGGUAUACUGACCGUGCAAAGGUAGCAUAAUCAUUAGUCUUUUAAUAGAGGGCUGGUAUGAAGGGUUUAACGAGGUGUUGACUGUCUCAUUUAAUUUGGAUAUUAGAAUUUAAUUUUUUAGUUAAAAAGCUAAAAUAUUAUUGGAAGACGAGAAGACCCUAUAGAGCUUUAUACUUUUAUUAUUAAUUUAUUAUAGAUUAUUAUUAUUUAUUAUUAAUAAAAAGUAUUUUGUUGGGGUGACAAAAAUAUAUAAGCAACUUUUUUAUUUAAUUUACAUUGAUAUAUGAAUAUUAGAUCCAAUCUUAUUGAUUGUUAGAUUAAGUUACCUUAGGGAUAACAGCGUAAUCCCUCUCCAGAGUUCAUAUUUACAGAGGGGCUUGCGACCUCGAUGUUGGAUUAAGAUAAUAAUUAGGUGCAGCCGCUUAAUUAAUAGGUCUGUUCGACCUUUAAAUUCUU